Molecule: unclassified non-coding RNA, 244 nt
Organism: Apteryx haastii (Great spotted kiwi)
Lineage: Eukaryota; Metazoa; Chordata; Aves; Apterygiformes; Apterygidae
Source: Ensembl
ACGCAUGCUGUGCUGUAAUUUAUGAAACUGAGCCCAGGAAGCAAGCAAUCAGUUAGCUCCUCCUAACAAGUCCAACUGGCUACGAAAAGCUGGAAGGGCUGCACAGAACAAUGAAGAGGAGCUAUCCCACGUAUUAAUCUGCUUAUGUAGGAUUGCUUUCUGCGUAGAGGGGGGAAACCCGAAACAAGGCAGGGGCAGAGGGAUCACAGCUUUGCUGUUCAAACAACAGAAUAAUUUCAAUCAG